AUAAGGGGAUGAAGUUCCCCUCGGCUGAGAGGCCGGAACCGCUUAUGUGAGCUGAUGACUUCUGCGC
This 67-nucleotide non-coding RNA is filed under the name human gut metagenome. Its description in RNAcentral is "Fluoride riboswitch". It matches the Rfam family "Fluoride riboswitch aptamer (crcB RNA motif)", at positions 6 to 60 of the family's 64-position model. The record is from RNAcentral.